AGGAAAAAAUAAAGAUAGUGAUUAGUAAAGGGUAUACCACUUUCUAUAUAUUGUAUUUUCUGUCAUUCUUCAAUUUGUGUUUAGUAUUUUCUAUUCCUCUCUUC
RNAcentral lists this non-coding RNA (104 nucleotides) under Proboscia inermis. Lineage: Eukaryota; Bacillariophyta; Melosirophyceae; Probosciales; Probosciaceae. The record is from RNAcentral.